RNAcentral lists this ribosomal RNA (253 nucleotides) under uncultured bacterium. Its description in RNAcentral is "partial 16S ribosomal RNA". It matches the Rfam family "Bacterial small subunit ribosomal RNA", at positions 524 to 776 of the family's 1533-position model. The record is from RNAcentral.
UACGAAGGGGGCUAGCGUUGUUCGGAAUUACUGGGCGUAAAGCGUGCGCAGGCGGCUUUCCAAGUCAGUGGUGAAAGCCCGGAGCUCAACUCCGGAACUGCCAUUGAAACUGUAAGACUUGAGGAUGAGAGAGGUGAGUGGAAUUCCCAGUGUAGAGGUGAAAUUCGUAGAUAUUGGGAAGAACACCGGUGGCGAAGGCGGCUCACUGGCUCAUAUCUGACGCUCAGGCGCGACAGCGUGGGGAUCAAACAGG